Molecule: ribosomal RNA, 410 nt
Filed under: uncultured bacterium
Lineage: Bacteria
Description: bacterial SSU rRNA
Rfam family: Bacterial small subunit ribosomal RNA
Source: RNAcentral
AAUGGGCGCAAGCCUGAUGCAGCCAUGCCGCGUGUAUGAAGAAGGCCUUCGGGUUGUAAAGUACUUUCAGCGGGGAGGAAGGGAGUAAAGUUAAUACCUUUGCUCAUUGACGUUACCGACAGAAGAAGCACCGGCUAACUCCGUGCCAGCAGCCGCGGUAAUACGGAGGGUGCCAGCGUUAAUCGGAAUUACUGGGCGUAAAGCGCACGCAGGCGGUUGAUUGAGUCAGAUGUGAAAUCCCCGGGCUUAACCCGGGGAUUGCAUCUGAUACUGGUCAGCUAGAGUCUUGUAGAGGGGGGUAGAAUUCCAUGUGUAGCGGUGAAAUGCGUAGAGAUGUGGAGGAAUACCGGUGGCGAAGGCGGCCCCCUGGACAAAGACUGACGCUCAGGUGCGAAAGCGUGGGGAGCGAA